GGAGUGGACGAACCUCUGGUGUACCAGUUGUCACGCCAGUGGCAUGGCUGGGUAGCUAAGUUCGGAAGGGAUAAGCGCUGAAAGCAUCUAAGCGCGAAGCCCACUUCAAGAUUAGGAUACCCAUCCCGAUUCGUCGGGACUUAAGGCUCCUUGUAGACUACAAGGUUGAUAGGUCACAGGUGUAAAGAUAGUAAUAUCAAAGCCGAGUGAUACUAAUAGGCCGUGAGACUUGGAUAA
This 237-nucleotide ribosomal RNA is filed under the name bacterium. Its description in RNAcentral is "partial 23S ribosomal RNA". It matches the Rfam family "Bacterial large subunit ribosomal RNA", at positions 2694 to 2925 of the family's 2925-position model. The record is from RNAcentral.